AUGAAGCUCGUAGUUCAGGCUGCAGCACUGAUGGCUGUGAUUCAGACAUGGCUCAUGUUGAUGCACAGGAGAGCUAUUCGUUGUGGUGAGAGGCAUGUCAUCAAUUAUGGUCCAAUGUUUAUCCGAGAUCAUGAAAGGAUGGCGAAUCUGAACUACAUAUACAACUAUAAGGACAUAGAGACUCUAUGGAUGCUUCGAAUGAAAAGAGCACCAUUUGUCAGGCUUGUGUAGACCUUCAGGAGCGGGCUGCUAGAAAAUAGCAUCCACACUAGUGUGGAAGAGCAAGUAGCCAUGUUCCUCCAUGCUAUUGGUCAUAACAAGAGGUUCAAGGUUAUGCACAACACCUUCAGGAGAUCAAUGGAGACCAUCUCGUGGUACUUCAGGCAAGUGUUGUAUGCUGUUGGGGAACUCAGAGGAGAGAUGAUCGUGUCACCAACCGGCCAGACUCCUACCACAAUUCGCACUAUCCCAAGAUGCUAUCCAUACUUCAAGGUGAGCACUAAUAGUAUGUAG
RNAcentral lists this ribosomal RNA (513 nucleotides) under Triticum aestivum (bread wheat). Its description in RNAcentral is "partial small subunit ribosomal RNA". The record is from RNAcentral. Lineage: Eukaryota; Viridiplantae; Streptophyta; Magnoliopsida; Poales; Poaceae.